This 411-nucleotide ribosomal RNA is filed under the name uncultured bacterium. Its description in RNAcentral is "bacterial SSU rRNA". It matches the Rfam family "Bacterial small subunit ribosomal RNA", at positions 505 to 916 of the family's 1533-position model. The record is from RNAcentral.
GUGUCAGCCGCCGCGGUAAUACGUAGGGUGCAAGCGUUAAUCGGAAUUACUGGGCGUAAAGCGUGCGCAGGCGGUUGUGUAAGACAGGCGUAAAAUCCCCGAGCUUAACUUGGGAAUUGCGUUUGUGACUGCACGGCUAGAGUACGGCAGAGGGGGAUGGAAUUCCGCGUGUAGCAGUGAAAUGCGUAGAUAUGCGGAGGAACACCGAUGGCGAAGGCAAUCCCCUGGGCCUGUACUGACGCUCAUGCACGAAAGCGUGGGGAGCAAACAGGAUUAGAUACCCUGGUAGUCCACGCCCUAAAUGAUGUCAACUGGUUGUGGGGAAUUAACUUUCUCAGUAACGAAGCUAACGCGUGAAGUUGACCGCCUGGGGAGUACGGCCGCAAGGUUAAAACUUAAAUGAAUUGGCGG